CGGUUAAUUAGCAUGGGGGCUUAACGAGGCAUGGAAUGAGCACUUUGUGGGGGCGGUUCAUGAGGGGGAAGGUGGUUGGGGGUGGGACUCAUUUGCAUAUAUUAGCAUACGAGGGUGGGAUUGGGGUGUUAAUUAGUAUAUGCUAAUGAGGAUGGGAUCGGCCAUAGGGAAGAAGUCGUUAAUUAGCGGCCUUCACGAGCUGCGGAUCGUUACUAUUGAGGCUUCGUGUUGGUUGAAGGCUGGGCUCAUUUGCAUACAUUAGCAUAUGAGGAUCGAGAGUGCAUACGAGGAUCGAGAAUGCUCGCUAAUUAGCAUUGCUAAUGAGGACGGGAUCAGCACUAACGAAGACUUCGUUAAUUAGCGACCUUAACGAGUUGUCCAUUGUUACCAUUGAGGCUCUUCAGUGAUUGAAUGCUGGGCUCAUUUGCAUAAAUUAGCAUACGAGGAUCAAGAAGGGUCGCUAAUUAAGGCCACUAAUGAGGUUCGGAUUGACGAUGAUGGAGACUUCGUUAAUUAGCAGCCUUGUUAAUUAGCGGCCUUGACGAGCUGUGGAUUGCUAUCAUGGAGGCCUCGCAUUGGUUGAAAGCUGAGCUCAUUUGCAUGAAUUAGCAUACGGGGAUCAAGAAAGGAUGUUAAUUAGAGCUGCUAAUGAAGAUUGGAUCAGCGCUAACGAAGAGUUUGUUAAUUAGGAACCUUAAUGAGCAAUCCAUCGUUACCUUCGAGGCUUUUCAGUGGUUGAAAGCUGGGCUCAUUUGCAUAAAUUAGCAUACGAGGAUCAAGAAAGGACGUUAAUUGGCGCUGCUAAUGAGGAUCCAAUCAGCGCUAACGAAGACUUCGUUAAUUAGCGACCUUAAUGAGCUGUGGAUCGUUACCAUGGAGGUCUCGGAUUGGUUGAAAGCUGAGCUCAUUUGCAUAAAUUAGCAUACGAGGAUCAAGAAGGGGCAUUAAUUAAGGCUGCUAAUGAAGAUUGGAUCAGCGCUAACGAAGAGUUUGUUAAUUAGGAACCUUAAUGAGCAAUCCAUCGUUACCUUGGAGGCUUUUCAGUGGUUGAAAGCUGGGCUCAUUUGCAUAAAUUAGCAUACGAGGAUCAAGAAAGGACGUUAAUUGGCGCUGCUAAUGAGGAUCCAAUCAGUGCUAACGAAGACUUCGUUAAUUAGCGACCUUAACGAGCUGCGGAUCGUUACCAUGGAGGCCACGGAUUGGUUGAAAGCUGGGCUCAUUUGCAUAAAUUAGCAUACGAGGAUCAAGAAGCGUCGUUAAUUAGAGCUGCUAAUGAGGAUCCGAUCAGCGCUAAUGAAGAUCUUGUUAAUUAGCGGAUGAAGGCUUCGUUAAUGAGCGGCUUUGACGAGCUGCGGGUCGUUACCAUGGAGGCUUCUCAUUGGUCGAAAGCUGGGCUCAUUUGCAUACAUUUGCAUAGGAGGAUCACGAAAGCUCGUUCCUGAGCACUAAUUAACGGGGCUUAAUGAGGCUGCUUAAUGAGCUCGGCGCAGCGGUAACGAAGGCCGCCUUAAUUAGCGAGCGCGGCUCCCGGCGUCGGCUUCCCAUUGGUCGAGAGCCCCCCUCAUUAGCAUAUAUGAAUGGUUAAUGAGGGGGCGGUGUUGAAUGGGUUUCAAUGGGGGCCAAUGGGGUUUAAUGGGGGUUAAUGGGGUCUUAUAGGGUCUUAUAGGGUUUAAUGGGGGUUAAUGGGGUCUUAUUGGGUUUUAAUGGGGGUUAAUGGGGUUUUAAUGGGGGUUAAUGGGGUCUUAUAGGGUUUAAUGGGGGUUAAUGGGGUCUUAUAGGGUUUUAAUGGGG
Gallus gallus (chicken) is the source of this 1791-nucleotide long non-coding RNA. Lineage: Eukaryota; Metazoa; Chordata; Aves; Galliformes; Phasianidae. The record is from Ensembl.